This 360-nucleotide ribosomal RNA is filed under the name Triticum aestivum (bread wheat). RNAcentral describes it as "partial small subunit ribosomal RNA". Lineage: Eukaryota; Viridiplantae; Streptophyta; Magnoliopsida; Poales; Poaceae. The record is from RNAcentral.
AUGGCUAAAUAUUGGUGGAGCAGUGACAUUGACAGGAGAUCUCUUCAUUGGCUUUCUUGGAAGAAUCUCUCUGUUUCGAAACCAGAAGGAGGCAUGGGUUUUCGCAGCUUUGAACUUUUUAAUCUAGCCCUACUCGAAAAGCACGGGUGGCGGCUAAUGACACACCCUGACUCCUUGUGUGCGCGAGUUCUGAAAGGCAAGUACUUCCAUAACUGCAGCUUCAUGGACGCUACUGCACCUCGCUCGGCGUCUGCUACGUGGAAAGCUAUUAUUGCUGGGCGAGUUGCGUUGGAACAAGGAUUGAUCAAGAGAGUUGGGGAUGGUGAAUCUAUCUCCAUCUGGACGGAUCGAUGGAUCCCA